Molecule: ribosomal RNA, 479 nt
Filed under: uncultured bacterium
Lineage: Bacteria
Description: partial 16S ribosomal RNA
Rfam family: Bacterial small subunit ribosomal RNA
Source: RNAcentral
GAUGAACGCUAGCGGGAGGCCUAACACAUGCAAGCCGAGCGGUAUUGUUUCUUCGGAACUGAGAGAGCGGCGUACGGGUGCGUAACACGUGUGCAACCUGCCUUUAUCUGGGGGAUAGCCUUUCGAAAGGAAGAUUAAUACUCCAUAAUAUAUUGAACGGCAUCGUUUGAUAUUGAAAGCUCCGGCGGAUAGAGAUGGGCACGCGCAAGAUUAGCUAGUUGGUGAGGUAACGGCUCACCAAGGCGAUGAUCUUUAGGGGGCCUGAGAGGGUGAUCCCCCACACUGGUACUGAGACACGGACCAGACUCCUACGGGAGGCAGCAGUGAGGAAUAUUGGUCAAUGGGUGCAAGCCUGAACCAGCCAUCCCGCGUGAAGGACGACUGCCCUAUGGGUUGUAAACUUCUUUUGUAUAGGGAUAAACCUACCCUCGUGAGGGUAGCUGAAGGUACUAUACGAAUAAGCACCGGCUAACUCCGUG